GGGCCUGUAGCUCAGUCCGGUAGAGCACCGCCCUUGCAAGGCGGGGGCCGCGGGUUCAAAUCCCGCCGGGUCCA
RNAcentral lists this transfer RNA (74 nucleotides) under Candidatus Pacearchaeota archaeon. Its description in RNAcentral is "tRNA-Ala". It matches the Rfam family "tRNA". Rfam says of the family: Transfer RNA (tRNA) molecules are approximately 80 nucleotides in length. Their secondary structure includes four short double-helical elements and three loops (D, anti-codon, and T loops). Lineage: Archaea; Nanobdellati. The record is from RNAcentral.